GGGGAAUAUUGGACAAUGGGGGGAACCCUGAUCCAGCCAUGCCGCGUGUGUGAAGAAGGCCUUAUGGUUGUAAAGCACUUUAAGCGAGGAGGAGGCUCAUUUGGUUAAUACCCAAGAUGAGUGGACGUUACUCGCAGAAUAAGCACCGGCUAACUCUGUGCCAGCAGCCGCGGUAAUACAGAGGGUGCGAGCGUUAAUCGGAUUUACUGGGCGUAAAGCGUGCGCAGGCGGUUUUGUAAGACAGGCGUGAAAUCCCCGGGCUCAACCUGGGAACUGCGCUUGUGACUGCAAGACGAGAGUUCGGCAGAGGGGGGUGGAAUUCCACGUGUAGCAGUGAAAUGCGUAGAGAUGUGGAGGAACACCAAUGGCGAAGGCAGCCCCCUGGGUCGAUACUGACGCUCAUGCACGAAAGCGUGGGGAGCAAACA
This 427-nucleotide ribosomal RNA is filed under the name uncultured Rhodocyclaceae bacterium. RNAcentral describes it as "bacterial SSU rRNA". It matches the Rfam family "Bacterial small subunit ribosomal RNA", at positions 356 to 774 of the family's 1533-position model. Lineage: Bacteria; Pseudomonadati; Pseudomonadota; Betaproteobacteria; Rhodocyclales; Rhodocyclaceae. The record is from RNAcentral.